CGGAUGUAAAUCCUUAUAAAAAGCUUUCUUAUCAUACGUUGCAGUUAUAUCGUUUAAACUAACGUUGAUAACAUAACAUUGAAAGGAGAAAUAAAUUAAAGCAGAAGGAAAUUCAUUGUAAUGCAAACUAGAAAUAUCGCCUACUUACUGAUAAGCCUAUUAGUCCUGCAAAUGAUGUCAGAAAUUGCUGGCCGGCCACAUAACUGCUGCAGUUACAGACAAUGUCCACGAGGUAGAUUGUGCGUAAAUAUUGGUUCUCGUUGUCGUUGCAAGAGCAAUCGUGUAGUUACGGACUUUUUCGUCAUGCUUAAAGGACCUGCGAAAAGGCACAGACAUCAACAUAGGUACUAGAACCGUCAGAUCGGACUAUAACUGUUUUUAGGGAUGAUCUCGUUCUUUUCAACUGUGAUAUCAAUUUAUAGUACUGUGAUGUCUUCUGUUUAAAUCACUGCCAUACGAACACUACAUGUGCGAAAUGAACUAUUCACAACGCGACAUGAGCACUACAAACCGUAAUGCAAAAGAUACAUGAAAUGUGAUAUAUGAAAUCAACAAAAGUGAAAUGUGAAUUUGUCAAAAUUCGAUAUCAAAUCUUGACAUUCGGAUAGUGACAUACUGCCUCUAGUCAUUAGUACAGUCGCUAUGCAUUUUAACUGCCUAUACUUGCUGAAUUUAUUUAUUUAUUUAUUUGGGUUUUACGGCGCACCAACACAGUAUAGGUUAUAUGGCGCCAAACAGGACUACAACUAUACUUGCUGAAACAUUUUACAUAUCGAUUACAUUAAAAUAUUUGUAAAUAUACAUAUGUUUUACAUUCUAUUUAUUGUUGUGUGUAUUCCACUAUGUUCUACCGGUCAGUAUAAUUUAUUUCAACUUUAUCACAUUUUGUUUUAUUUGUUUUAAUAUGUCAAAUUUUUUUUAUAUAUUUUCGUCUCAUUGUGUUUCAUUUUUUAGUAAACUUUUAAACUUUC
This is a long non-coding RNA of Mercenaria mercenaria, 971 nucleotides long. RefSeq lists it as uncharacterized. NCBI's taxonomy places the organism in Eukaryota, Metazoa, Mollusca, Bivalvia, Venerida, Veneridae. The record is from RefSeq and is a predicted model, not a curated record. The transcript is spliced from 2 exons.